Molecule: non-coding RNA, 92 nt
Organism: Mycena latifolia
Lineage: Eukaryota; Fungi; Basidiomycota; Agaricomycetes; Agaricales; Mycenaceae
Source: the annotation of a GenBank genome assembly
GCCUUCGUGGACCAUGGUGGUCGACUCGAAUUCUUUCAACCGCUGCGAAGGAUGUUAACGAGGAGAAGGAGGUUCGAUUCCUCCCGAGGGCA